AACACACUACACCAGCAGCAUGGGGCAUCCUCUCGACUCAUAUACAGACUGACAUUAGUGACGGGGCAUGUUUCUCGUGACUCAGACCGUCUGCAGGCGCUGUGAAGGGCUCUAUCAUCACUGUGGCCAGCACAGGGGGCAAGGUUGGGAAUAUGGGGCAGGUGAGUUACUCUGCUUCUAAAGCUGGAGUGGAACCGCUGCCUAAGAGCUGAGCUAGUGUAUUUGGCAUUCGCUGCAACUGUGUCCCGCCCGGGUUCAUCACUACACCCAUGACUGAUAAACUCACAGCCAUCAUUCCACUGGGAAGGAUGGGAGAGCCUGCUGAAGUAGCUGAUGCAUGUGCAUUUCUGGCUUCUGAUGACAGUGGAUAUAUUACUGGAGUCAGUGUUGAAGUUGCUGGUGGACUCUUCACUGGCUGAAAACUGUUGAAUAACACUAAACUGAUCACCGGCUCUGUGCCUUCAUCUUCGUGAAAUUGUCCUUGUGUAGUUUAAUUGCUGUAAAACUUGUUUACAAUGUAGCAAAUGGAAAUUGAAAUUCUAUAUUUAUACAAUUAAAGUUUGAAAAUUUUAUACUAAAACCCACUUUUAAAAAACAAUUAAGUGGACACAGGAGGAAAUGUGUUGAUGUGUGGUUUAAUGGGAACGUUUGGACCAAAACAACAUCAAGUCAAAGGAUUAAAACAGUUAACAUUUCAAAACGCAGACUAAUAGAGUGAAGCAUUUAAAAGGGUUUUAAGAGUCGUUUGAAGGAAAGUGGCCAGAUUACAUAUUGUGGUUUUUCUGAGGCACGAGAGGCUUGUUAAUUUGUUGAAAAGUGAAAAUGGGAGUUUGGAUAAGAAGAGUGAAGAUGCAGAUGAAAUAUGAGCAAAAGCACCAUGACAACAGGAAACAAACAGGAAAAGAACAACAAAGGAGUCCAACAGCUCUUUAAAUAGAUUAUAUAUUACACAAACAGAUUCUGAAGUACUUACAUAGAACACGUUUUAGCACCAUAUUUUAUAAGACAGAUGUUUGUCUUUCACCGACAAAAACAAUCCUCGCAGUAUUGUCCUUGAGAGUAAACCACACAAACAACUUUUAAUUCACAAAUACUUUUUAUAGCUUUUCAUUCCCCUCGCCAUGUUUUAAAAAAGAAACAAAAAAUAUACAUAAAAAAAACAAACCACCAUCAGUUUCCUUCCCUCUCCUUCCUCUUCCUGUCCCUUCUCCACUGCUGUCUGAAUCUCGAGACAUUUCGGUCGUUUCGGUCUCCACCUGCACCAAACUCUCCUAAACCUCAAGCUGUGACGUAAACGCACUGAAAUAAUGCAGCAAGAGCUGAUAUCACCAAGUGUACACAUAUAUAUAUAUAUAUAUCAUACAGAGAAGGCAGAUUUGCUUUCUGGGGUUUAAUUUACAUAUUUAAUAGAUGAAAAAACUACAGAUGAAUACCACAUUAUUUUGGACUGCAAGUGUUGGACAUUUUCUUGUGAGCACCUGUUUGUUUCACAAAAUAAAUACAAUAAAAUAUUUCUGUACAAAUGGUUCGCAUGCACAAUUCCAGCCUGAACACUGUCCACACAAAAGGUCAAAGGUCACAAACCCAUGGGUUUGCGGCGGG
Cyprinus carpio (common carp) is the source of this 1602-nucleotide long non-coding RNA. RefSeq lists it as uncharacterized. NCBI's taxonomy places the organism in Eukaryota, Metazoa, Chordata, Actinopteri, Cypriniformes, Cyprinidae. The record is from RefSeq and is a predicted model, not a curated record. The transcript has 7 exons.